Sinorhizobium fredii NGR234 is the source of this 112-nucleotide regulatory RNA element. It matches the Rfam family "TPP riboswitch aptamer (THI element)". Rfam says of the family: Vitamin B(1) in its active form thiamin pyrophosphate (TPP) is an essential coenzyme that is synthesised by coupling of pyrimidine and thiazole moieties in bacteria. The previously detected thiamin-regulatory element, thi box was extended, resulting in a new, highly conserved RNA secondary structure, the THI element, which is widely distributed in eubacteria and also occurs in some archaea. The record is from Rfam. Lineage: Bacteria; Pseudomonadati; Pseudomonadota; Alphaproteobacteria; Hyphomicrobiales; Rhizobiaceae.
UCCAUUCACCAGGGGGGUCCCGGCAAGGGGCUGAGAUACUGCUAGAGCGCGCAGUGACCCGUUGAACCUGAUCCAGUUCAUACUGGCGUAGGGACGGUGCGGACGUUUGAUG